This 66-nucleotide transfer RNA is filed under the name Eurhadina exclamationis. RNAcentral describes it as "tRNA-Ser". Lineage: Eukaryota; Metazoa; Arthropoda; Insecta; Hemiptera; Cicadellidae. The record is from RNAcentral.
GAGAGUUCAUGAAAGAAAAUAGCUGCUAACUAAUUUUCUAAGCGGUUUAAAUCCGUUUAACUCUUA